Long non-coding RNA from Neofelis nebulosa (Clouded leopard), 722 nucleotides. RefSeq lists it as uncharacterized. Lineage: Eukaryota; Metazoa; Chordata; Mammalia; Carnivora; Felidae. The record is from RefSeq and is a predicted model, not a curated record. The transcript is spliced from 3 exons.
GAAACCCUCCUUCUCUCUCCGGCAUCUCACUGCUGCGUCGGUGCAGGUAGGGGAUUGAGAUCGAGCUAGCUCGAAUAAAGGCUCUUUGCUUUUGCAUCAGACUCCGCUCCCUGGUGGCCUUUGGGGAUCACAAAUUCUGGGCAAAACAGUGAUGGGUGCAGAGAAAGAGGGAGAUGGAGAGAGAACCUCAGGCAAGCUCCACACCGCCAGUGCAGAGCCUGAUGCAGGGCUCGAACUCACAAAUCACGAGAUCAUGACCUGAGCCAAAGUUGGACGCUUAACUGAGUGAGCCACCCAAGAGAAUUGCGCAAGGACGUCUCAGAAGGCUCCAACCGGACAACCGUAAUCAUCCUGAUGUACCUGGAUUCCUACCGCUUUUGCCUCCAACAGCACAUUUGGAAUAUUUUAUAAAUCUGCCCCAGAGACAAAGAGGAAGCAUUUUGUUGUGAAAAUCUGGCUUUUUGUGAUUGUACCAGGAACAUGGCACACACAUUUAAUUCAAGAAACUAGUAUCGUCUGGUAAAACAUCUCUUAUUUAGUAGAGAUUCAGGGUUUUUAAAAAAAACAUUUCUCUAUGGGCUUAACUAAUGAUUCAUUUGUUUAUUUUUAGUGCAUUUGUUUUUCCUCUAAUUAUUAAUGAUAUACUCAGGUGUUGGCUCCUCACAUCUCCUUUCUUUGUCAACAACAAAGGCAAGCCCAGCUUGCCUCAAGAUGAGUUAAAA